RNAcentral lists this ribosomal RNA (800 nucleotides) under uncultured bacterium. RNAcentral's name for it is "bacterial SSU rRNA". It matches the Rfam family "Bacterial small subunit ribosomal RNA", at positions 34 to 795 of the family's 1533-position model. The record is from RNAcentral.
GGCAGGGCGGCGUGCCUAUACUGGCAGUCGAGCGAGCUUGCCUAGAUGAUUUUAGUGCUUGCACUAAAUGAAACUAUAUACAAGCGAGCGGCGGACGGGUGAGUAACACGUGGGUAACCUGCCCAAGAGACUGGGAUAACACCUGGAAACAGAUGCUAAUACCGGAUAACAACACUAGACGCAUGUCUAGAGUUUGAAAGAUGGUUCUGCUAUCACUCUUGGAUGGACCUGCGGUGCAUUAGCUAGUUGGUAAGGUAACGGCUUACCAAGGCAAUGAUGCAUAGCCGAGUUGAGAGACUGAUCGGCCACAUUGGGACUGAGACACGGCCCAAACUCCUACGGGAGGCAGCAGUAGGGAAUCUUCCACAAUGGACGAAAGUCUGAUGGAGCAACGCCGCGUGAGUGAAGAAGGGUUUCGGCUCGUAAAGCUCUGUUGGUAGUGAAGAAAGAUAGAGGUAGUAACUGGCCUUUAUUUGACGGUAAUUACUUAGAAAGUCACGGCUAACUACGUGCCAGCAGCCGCGGUAAUACGUAGGUGGCAAGCGUUGUCCGGAUUUAUUGGGCGUAAAGCGAGUGCAGGCGGUUCAAUAAGUCUGAUGUGAAAGCCUUCGGCUCAACCGGAGAAUUGCAUCAGAAACUGUUGAACUUGAGUGCAGAAGAGGAGAGUGGAACUCCAUGUGUAGCGGUGGAAUGCGUAGAUAUAUGGAAGAACACCAGUGGCGAAGGCGGCUCUCUGGUCUGCAACUGACGCUGAGGCUCGAAAGCAUGGGUAGCGAACAGGAUUANAUACCCUGGUAGUC